UAAGGGACCGACGAACCCCGUCAUUCCGCGUCGAUCCAUCGAUCUUGGCAUAAAUGAAAGAAAAAUACUAGAAAAAACAGUAGUACUCCUAGUUGUCUUGCGAGCUCUCCUGCUCUCAAUUAGCCUUGCUUAAUCUUGUUGUGUCGUCGUAGUUUGAGUUUUCAGCCAAAGAUCGAGCGGAGGUCAAUUGCGCUGCGUAUGUGUUCAGUUGUCUGUAAAUGGUGUAGUGUGUAAUAAGAUGCAGUGAUACAAUGGCUAUUCCGUGCAAAUGGUUUUCCGGUUUUCGUUGCCUCAUCUUUGGCGCUGUGAUUUUGUUAAACUUUGAAAGAUAGAGCAUGAAACACAAUGAUGCAUAUACAUAUCUGAUGGAGAAAAGCAGAGAUUCAACUUCGCAAUCCAGAAUGACUAAACUGGACUGCUAUUUGAGAUAAGAACUAACUAAACAGUUUGCUCUCGGCAUCUGUUAUACUAUGUUCAGACUUUUUAUGGAGUAAAACCUGUACACUUGGAAGAAGAGUGGGUACCAAGCUGCUGAAUCAAUCUUCGCUAUACAUUCCAUUUCCUGCUAUGUACUUUUGCAUUGAGACACAGCUUCCCUCGGUCAGAGCUGUUAUCUACCUUCCCUCGGUCAGUCUUUUUACCUAUCACAGCUUCCCUCGGCAGUUUUCAGCGCCACAGAAACAUUCCGUCUGUGGACCAAAAUGCUGCUGGAAGCUACAAGAUGGACCCAAAAAAAUUUGAGAUGUACAUCAUAAAACAUCUAUCGUGAGGUCACUAGAUCAUCUCUUCUGUGUAUUUGCAACACUAAUUUUCCAAGUGAAGCAAUAUAGGAGAAGUUUUUUAGUGCUUCCCCAAUGCUAAAUAUUUUACUCAGGUUCAGUGCUAUGUGUCAAAGAUAAAUCCAGAAUCUAGGGCGAGAAUUGCAUUUCUGCUUCAGCUUCCCCGGUUUAGUUGGUUUGGAGGCGGUUAAUCUGGCUAUCUUUUACUCCCUCGGUCCCAUAAUGUAAGAUGUUUUUGGAUACUACACUAAAGUCAAAAACAUCUUAUAUUAUGAGCCGGAGGGUGUACCAUUUUACACUGAACUCUGCCUAUGCACAGUCGCAAUAAUGUCUCGGCCCUAAGUUUUUUGUCAACAAGUAAUCAACCAUUACUGUGUUAACAAAUGCCGUGGAAUACACAAGAACUUAAAACUAUAGUAACAAUUAGUGCUUGAUGCCUCUGGAGAAUUAAUAUUGCGGUGCCACAUGCAAAUUGCCGCUAUGUUGAACUUAUAUUGCAUCAGAAUACUUGAAGUUUGGAAGAUUUCAGAAAGGUUGACACUUGACAGUUGACACCGAGGGAUACUGGAUUUAGCAUCACCACUGCUGACAUAUCCUUUCCAGGUAAACCUAGUGCUAUCAUUAGGAUUUUAUUUUAUUUAUCUAUGGUGUCAGUUUUUAUUGACCAAUGUAAAGCCAGGAAAACAAAGUACAAAUGCUGAAACAUAAAACGGAAUCCAGAUUUUUUUUUUACAGUGGAGCACCAGAAAAGGAAAAAUGAUAAGAGACAUAUCGUUUAUUCUCUAAAGGUGUAUGGUUUAGUCAGGAUAAAGAUCCAACUAAGCAUCUGUAUGGCUACACAAAUUAACGUUGUAAAUGAUCUGCUGGUGUUAGAAUGCAUACAAAUUAUACCAAACGUCAAUGUGAGUACUCCCUCCAUUCCAUAAUGUAGUGUGUAUAGAUUUUUUCCAAAAGUCAAACUUUGCAAAUUUUGACCAUGUUUACAGAGAACAAUAUUUACAUUUAGAAUACCAAAUGCAUAUCAUUGGAUACAUUGUGAGUUAAGUUUUCAUAUUGUAUAUGUUUGAUAUUCUAGAUAUAGCUAAGUUUGACUUCAUAUAAUCUAUAUGCACUACAUUAUAAAAGGAGGGAGAAGUACAUAACAGAAAAACGUAUAUGAAAUGAUAGGCUGAUUGAGUCUCUCAUGUACCUGUAAUUGUAGGUCAAGGGCUCACCCACUUGUAUACCCUGUAAAGAAAACACACCUAACCUUGUCUUGCCAUUUACUUGCCUGGCGACAGACAACUCAGUUAAGCCCUAAAAAACACUUCUAGAGAAUAAAGGAGCAGUAAGCUAAGCUUCUGCAAAUAAGAGAUUUACCAAUUCUCCAACUGACAGUUAGGUCUGCAGCUGUGGUUAAAAAAGCGACAAUCAUUUCCUCUGAAUGUUGCAUCUAUUAUAAAGUUGUUGUUGACUUUACACAUGUAGAAAUUUUGAUCUCGGCGCUUUUUCAUGUCUUGAAGCCUCUCUUCACAUCUCGCGCCAUCUAUAACUGGGAUGGGGCAUUAAAUAAUUAUAAAAUAGUAUAUGAUCUACAAAUUUGAAGAGUACACUGAGUUGAGCACCAAUCAUUAAUAUUUUAGUAUCUAUUCUAGCAAUGAAACUAGCUUUUGAUUUUGACAGACAUGAACUCAAGUUAACAGCAAUAUGUUCCAGCACAAUAGCAGCAUAGCUCACACAUAAUAAUUAGGAAGGUAAUCACUAGUCACAGUCUCCUGUACAGACCACAAGCACGGAAAUUGGACAUGAUGCCCAAAAGGAUCUUUAGUAAGUUGAGUCGAUCCAAAAGAAAUUGGAGGCACCAAAUCUGUUUUGUAUCGUUGCUUCGGUUUUUCUCAUCUUUAUUGUAAUGAUGAUGGUAAGGUUCAUGACACAUGGCAACAAGACCUUAAUUUCAUUUUCAACAGCCACAAAAGUCCAGGGCACAGAUAAAAGAAUGGUACUCCCUCUGUUCACAAAUAUAAGAUGUUCUGACUUUUUUAUGAAUCAGAUGUAUAUAGACACGUUUAGUGUGUUUGUAAACUCAUUUCAGUCCGUAUAUAGUCCAUAUUGAAAUAUCCAAAACAUCUUAUAUUUAUGAACGGAGGGAGUAAUACAUAGCAAUACGCAAUUCCUUGAACUGGGAGAUUGUUGCCAUAUGCUGAGAACAAUAACACCAAAGAAAAGAACAUAUCUCCACACAAACAAACAUAUAUGACUUAGUUAAAGGAGUAGACAUAAAGAAGCUCCGGCGUGGCAAUGCGAAUUCAUCGCUUCCCUGACCAUUCAUGGCCUGGUGGCUGUGGAAACAGCAAAGUGACUGCACCUUAAAUGUUGCAAGCCCAGACAUCUUCAGGCUCACCCAAAUCACCCAGGAAGAAGCGUGUGCUAGGGACAGGGACGGUGUGCAGGGCCUGAGCAUGGUUCUAAUCGAGUAGCCGUGUGUGUGUGCGUGCGCGCGCGCUCACAUUUGUUGUGGGUCACAUCCCAUGGGAGUUGUGUGUGGUUCAGAAGGAAAUUUAAAAUCGAAAUGAUGCUAAAGUUACACUACCAGCAAUUGCUUAAGGAGGUGCAUCUGAAUUGGGGCAUGUUGAUGUGUGAAAAUGAAUGUUUUCUUAUAAGUAAACUGCAAAGCAGGCAAAAAUAGGUAUACCCUUUUUUACAAAUUAACUUAAAAUAGCUCAGGUUGAAAACAAGAACCAGUUGUGAUAAGCACCUGCACUGUACAGAUAAGCACCAGUUUAUUUUUUCUAAGCAGUACUCUAAGCACCUAGCAUUGUACAUGGCCUAAGUAACCUUCUGGAUGUCUGAAACAAGAACCAAUGAAAAGGGCUAAUCAGGAAAGUUAACAGGUACGGAAAGGAGUACCUAUUGUUGAAUACUAAUCAAGGUCAGCAUUAAUAAGCUUAUCUGCUAAGUUCUUUCAAUCACUGUACAGUAACUUGAUUCAACACGCACAUAAGAAGCAGCAAUGAUUAGUGCAACAACUGCAGCAGAAGAAGGGGUUUAAACGAACUACAAUCAGAUUAUAAAGCAAACCAAAGAACGAAUCUCAAAUACCUUCUCCGACAAACUCUAUCACAAAAUCACCUUCCUCAAUGGUUUCCAAUGCUAUGGCACCCCAUCCACAAUGUUGUGUCUACAGAAAAAUUCCAUCAGGAAGUUAUUUGCCACACAAAAAUAUCUUAAUCAUACUAUAUUACCAAAGAAAGUUAAUAACAAGAUGCACAAAUAAAAGGAAACAAAAAUAUAUUUAUAAUAUUGGUGCACCAGAUCAAGUUUAGGUAUGAAACUCGAAAUAGAAGAAUAAAAUAAAAUACUUUAUAGAAACAGGAGAAGGAAGAGCAGUCAUGAAAUUAAAGAGUAUGCUAACAUUGUAAAAACAUUCUAAGGUGUACAAGUUAAACCUUUAAUUACUUUUUGUCUUCUCAAAACAUGAACAGAAGAAGUCCAAUGAAUUCCUUACCUUAACAACCCCGAUCCUUUUCUCUCUGCGAAAUGGUCUGUUACUGCACUUAUUUGAGCACUUGCAAGCCUGAGAGCAGCUAAUGGACACAGACCUGUAGGAAUUAUCUUAACUUUCUAUCAAAAAUUGUACAUGCAUUUAUGUAAAAUGAAGGCGUAGAAGCAUUUUAUAGAAUACACAUACUCCAAACUCUAAGAUACAGCAUUACAGUAGACAUCGGAAAAAACAUUUGCUGUUCAAUUGGAGUAUAAUAAUCUGAAAAAUUAUAAGCGCUUUCAAUUAUGAUGAGAAUCAACUCAUACAAAACAAAGAUAUACACAGAGAAUAAGGAACCCCCACAAGCACGGACAUAAUAAUUAAAUUGGCCUGUACCUGCACGAGCAUCUUAUUUGACAGGUCAGAGGAGGGUCACAAUCGCUGCAUUUAGCUUCAAUGACAUCACCAUCACAUUUCUUCUUGACAAAAUACACAUCUUAGCUCAUUGAGGAAAUGAAAAAUUCCUAAGUUGAAAGAUAAAAAUGAAAAAGAUAUAAAAGGGAAACUGAACUAGUUUAAAUUGCAAUCAUAUGAAGGAUACUAUGCUUCAAAUGUACAUAUGGAGGUGGUUUUGUCACACUUUCCAACUCCUCCUUCCUAAUAGGGUUAAUAUUGAACUCUUGAUCAGCAUACGGGAGAGGUAAUCGCCGGAAGGCUUCCUGUAAAUGAAUCAAUACUCAACAAUGAAUACAGAUCAAAGAAAAACUGUAAGAACAAAACCAUUAAUAGUCCACCAACAUCACAUUUUUAGGAAGGCAAUACGACAGAGAAACAAAAUUGGAUAAGUUCUGUGUGUUCAACAAUACAGAGAAUCAAAUGUGCAGUGGAACUAUUAACCACCUCAAUGUUAUAUGCUGGACCUGCACCCUGUAAGAAGAACAUAUCACACUGUCAGCAACAUUAACAACAACAGAAAUAACCAAAGCCUACAGAAAUAGAGAUAUCAAACAAAAUGCAUUCAACCAUAUUAAAGCAAAUGGUAUAGAACAAAUUGUUGAAUAUUCUUUCUUUUAAUGAUUUAAUGAGAAGUAGUCAGCAAAGAGAAUAUUUUUGAAAUGCAUAUUGGAGGCAUUUACUAUUGGAGGAUGCCGUCUGCAGACCAACUUAUCCAAAGAGGCCCUCCGUUGUCGAUACACUAAUACUCCCUCCGUCCAAUAAUAUAAUAACGUUUUUGACACUACACUUGUGUCAAAAACGCUCUUAUGUUAUGGGACGGAUGGAGUAGAAGUUACAAAAUUGAAACCAGAGUGCAAAAACAACUUUCAUAAUAAGACCUUCAGAAUUGGUGAUACGAAAUAAGAACAUAUGCUUGAUAUGGUAAAAGACUGUCGGUACGUGAGCAUAUAAGGUUUAUUGUGCGUCACAGAACCUGCUCAAUAGCCUGUACAAAUUGGGAAUCGUGGGGCUGAGGGCUAUGGUCACGAAGAAGGUAUAAUUCAAAUUUGCAUCCCUGUGCUUCAUUACACUAAAGGCUUUAAUUUAUACUACUCUCUCAUCAGCCAAUACUGAACAAUCAUAUCAACCCAAUACUAAAUAAGCUUACCAUGUUUUUAUUGUAAUUCUCAGCUCUUGUCUAUUAAGUAGAAAACUGUAGACACUCAGUCGCUGUUAUCUAGGAUAAACUGCCAUGAUGCUGGUUAAAAACCCAAUUAUCCACACUGCUAUAUUUUUGUAGGCACUGAAGAUAUAUUUUAUAUAAGAAACUGACAGAGAAGCACCAAAUAGGGUGGAUGAAGCAUAGCAUCAACCUCACUCGUUGAUGGCCAAAUACUCCAACUUAUCAUUAGCUUUGAAGGAUCAACAGACCCAGUCAUUCUGUUUUGAUGCAGCGAACAUUGUGUACAUGCAGGCAUUACAUGUUUCAGCCGGUGCCAAGUUGUUCUCCUUUUGCAGUGAAAACAUAUCUGCACAGUUAACAUAAAUAUGAGGGGAUAAAUAAUCGUAAAUUGUUCAAACUAACAAAGACUUCAACGAAACAAAAUAUAAUUAUUUCUCAUUGGAUGCACAGAUAGGCAUUUAUAUCUAUAGUAUAUCAUUGUUUGUAAUCUUGGGAAAAAAUACAAUUGCUUUUUUAGAUCUGUAACUUUGUUUCAGCAACUUACAUGUCGAGGGCAGCUUCCAUCACUUUGUUCAGAACAGGCCUUAUGCAAGGUUACUUCACAGUGAUGACCUGAGCAUCGCGUCCUUUCAUCGGGCAGGAUACUCCUCGAGCAAAUCAGGCAUUCAACCUAAAUCCAAAGGAUUUUAAAGAUUCCUUCUUUUAGAGAAUCAGUAGGGAAUCACACUCACACUACCUUGGUAACAUCCGGAGUACACAUUAAAAUACUGUGUGAACAGAAUCACUUGAUAUUGGUAUCCUAUAUUCAGAAGCUUUAAAGUGGAUCAGAAUCCUAUAGGAAGUGUUACUUGGCAUCCUUCCUUCAUUUCUCGACCAAGCUUUCACCUAAUAUUUAAUUAACUUAUAAGAGUCUGACUGUGUUUCUAUGCAGAAGAUUCCAUACCCUGAUCACCUUGAUGUCCCUUAUUACAAGAUUUAUAGCAUAUUCCAGGAUUAUUGUUCCCUUAUUUAUCAGCAACCAGAGCUACAGAGAAUGAAUACAAGCAACGGCACAACACUUGUGUUUAACUGAACUCUCAAUAUUACAGCCUUCUUCUGUCAGUUCUAUCAGAGUUGGGUGAUCACAUAUGCAGUCACUUUUUAUACAGGUUGUCAAAGCAUCUUGUCCAAAGAACAUUCCAGGAACAUAUACUUUGGAAGGCAUCCAUAUUUCCUAAGAAAAUCUACCCUCUUCAAAAAAAUCAGUUUCUUCAGGUUACACGCACUUAGGUGAUGUCGUUGGGCUCAAGAGUUUGAGUCUCAUCUCCUACCUUAACUGAAAAGACACAUAGUUCCUCCUGUGUGCUGUAGCUUCUUUUUCUGGCAUAGAGCUAAAUUCUUCCAUAUGUGCUCUGCAUACAUAACUUGAGAUGCCACUAUUCGUCCAGUUCAUAUGGUUAAUGUUAUAGAACUCAAUUUAACAUUUUGUAACAUGUUUCUGAAGUACUCCAUGCUCUUUAGUUGUGAGCAACUAUCGGAAACAGUGUGUGCCCUCAGUCCAAUUGUCCUAUAAAAUGAAUAACCACCUCACAUUUUCUAGUGUGGUGAUGUCCCUAUUCAGAUAUAACCCUUAUUCCACUGAUUUGCACAUCUUUGUCACAGUUCUUGUUUACUCUCCAAUUUCUAUGGUGGUAUCCAAAUCCAUCUAGUGUAUCAUUUGCUCUCAGUGUGGAGUACUAAUAACCGCAUUGAGACUCAUUGUUCUUUGUUCCAAACCAUGUUCCCCUUUCGGUCUCUGUCCCGAGUUCCGUGCCACCAGACAAUCACCCCCAUUUAUCAGUUCAUCCCGUUUCUAGCAAACCUAACAUUUUCGUUGUCAUCAAAGUCCUGUUUGACACAAGUUGGUAACUGAAUUGCCGGCCUGGCAGUGGCACGUACCUUCCUCGGCGCGCCUUUCUGGAGGAACGGGAGGACGCACUCCUCCGCCGGGGCGCCUGACGCGGCCUUCGCUGCCCCCCACUCCUCCGCGCAUGCCUGUACUGUCCGCCGCAGAGGCGCCGCGGGGGACUUGCGCCGUAUCCGCGAGGACGACGGCGCCGCCGAGGGGAGGCCACGGACGCGAGUCCGGACGCUGAUGCGCACCGACCGUCGGGGGUCCGUUCCUCCUGGAGACCCCGCCGCGGCCGGCGGGGACGGUGGCGGGGGAGAGCAGGGGGGCUGGUGGGUCGCCUGUGGGCGGAGGCGGGCGGAACGGCGGACGGGCGGAGCGGCCGGCGCUGGGCGGGGAGGCCCCGCCAUUGGUGCUUACACGGCGAUCGGACGGGACAGGAUUAGGGUUUCGGUGCGACGCGCGGCGCGGGGUUGGGAGGAUUUGGGGAGGUUGCGGGGCGGAGAGGGACGGAGUGGAGGAGCGGGGGAGGGCGGGAAGCAGAAGAAGGGGAAGCGCGGCUGCGGUUUGGGUAGUUCCUUUCUUCUCUUUUUAGUGGCGGAGUGGGGUCGCGGGGUGCGGUGAUUGUAUUGUAACGCUUAAACAACGCUCAUUUCGACCGUUAAGGCAAAUCGGCCACUGCAUCCGCAAGACCGCAAAUGGUCCGGCUUGGGUGCGGCCCAUAAAAGUAGUACCUGCAGUUUUCUUCAUUUUACGAAAUUUUCACUUUUUUCUCUAAAAAAAACGAAAUUUUCACUAAAAAGUACAGUAUACACUGUUCUAAAAAAACUAAAAAUUAUAUAAAUUAUUAACAACUGCAGUACAUUAUAAUAAAAGUAAACAUAAAUGUGUGUUAUAAAAUGUUUGCAUAAAUUUAAAAGUAAUAUUCAUGUACUCCUAAAAACUGUUUCAUACAAUUUAACAAAAUGUUUCACGCAAUUUGAGAAAAUGUUCAUGUGAUUAAAUAAAACAUUUCAUAAUAAAAAUAUGUUAAUGUAAUAAAAUAAUUGUAUGCUGAAAAUCUUCAUGUGGUUUAAAUACAUGUUCAUGCAUUAAGCAUCUAUGUAUUAAAAUAGGUGUGGCUCUAAAUGUGUUCACGUCUUAAAAAAAUAUUCGUGUAAUUUAAAAAAAUAUUUGCUCGUUUAUUAAAUUUUCAUGUAAAAAUGGUACAUAAUUUGAGAAAUGUUCAUGUAAUAAAAAAACUGUCCAAGGCAAGAAACCUGCAAUUAAAAAGCUUUAAGUUCUCUUACAAAUGUGUUCAUAUUAUUUUGAAAUUUUUCGCCCCUUUAAAAAAACACUCACAUAUACAUGUAAUUUGAGAAAAAUGUUCAUGUAAAAAUAUAUUUCUUUAAGAUAAACAGAAAAGGGGUGAACCAAAAGUCAAACGAAAAAAGAAAAAUAAGGAAAUAAAAUAAUAGGAAAACCGAAAAAAUAAAGAUAAACAGGAAACAAGUUUAAAAUAAAAAAUACAGAGGAAACCUCUACCCAAAUGGGGCUGACCCAAUGAUCCACCUUAUAGCACUCACAGUCGUGAGAGAAGCCCCUAUUGUUUCUUGUCACGGAUAGUGCUAGCAAUUUGGUCGAACUUGGUUGAGCUCGCAGCUACUUCGACAGAUACAUAAAUGUUGAUCAAGAGGAUGGACGAGUUGGAUCUCAAUGGGAAUGCAAAAAUGCCGUUUUGCAUGGACCACUGAACUGAAACGUUUGUGAUCAGGCGCAUGUAAAAACUAUGGAGAUGCACCUCUUUUUGGUUGUGAUCGGGCGCUAUGAAACACCGCACUUUAAUUUGCUCAUAUUGCUAUGCAUUUGGAAUGAAAGAGGUCGGACCAUGUCGGACGUUUAGGGAAUGCGGUUGGAUGGCUGGCUCCUGUAUCCGCGCUCGUGGACGAGUCCCCUGACAGAUAGUGUGUCCGUUUUAGGGGACGCAUUGUAGAUGGCCUGACAAUCAUAAGGUCAAUCCACCCGGCUUCAAAAUCUAGACUUGGCAUGGGUGUUUGUAUUUUCCUGGAUUUAUUUCAAUUUUUUUAGUGUUCAUUCCUUUCAAGGAGACAAGGUUCUCGUCAACUACGAGGCUCAUGUGUUAAGUUCGUGAAUCUCAAGAUUUGCGGUUUAGUCUUUUAGAGGUGCUCAUCGGGGCAAGGUCUGCUUGCAUAGUUCAUAAGAUGAGUGUUCGUACAUUUACACGAGUGUCAGCAUUUGCACAGUUUUUUUUAAUAGAAAGGCUUAUGGUCACUCCACACCAUCAGAUCACUAGUCAUGAGUAAAAAAUGGAUGCAGCUUCGGUGCCUUAAAGGCACCUGCCUUUGGGUCACUGACAUGUGGGCCAGCCACUUGUUGGGCCCACAUGUCAUAGACACAAAGGUAGGUGCUAAGGCACCGAAGCAUCGUCCGCAAAAAAUCCACUAAGCAUCAAACAUGGCAAAAUCAUCUCUGAGGAAAGAGAUGGGAUCAUUCUCCAAAGAAUAAGUAAGCAACCAAAAAAGCUCGGUGUCGAUGUAUUUCUCUUUUGUUGGCACGAACCAGUGCCCUCAGGAUCCAAGUAAUUUUGAAAGAACAGGUAACAACAACACAAAGAAAAAGAAUGAAUCAACAGCUGAGCAUUCUGAUGAGUGGGACCGGAGUCGUGAGACAUUGAUCGUCACGAAGGGUAGAGCGCCAAGAACUUGGGAGACAAGCACGGUGAGCUCCUCCAGAUCCUGGAGUGCAGCUUGAGCACCUCGUGCGCCUUCUCCUUGGUCUUGACCCCGCACAGCUCGGACCGCAGCGCCAGGCACAGCUUGCCCACGACGCCGGCCUGCGCCAUCUCCUGCAGCACGGCCGGCGUCGCCGCGUGCCGCGCGACGGACCUCAGCACGCGCACCGCCCGCUCGCUGGCCGCCUCCGACACCCGCAGCACCUUCUUGCCCACCACGGCCACCCCCGCCGCGUGAGCCACCAGCUCGGCGCGCCCCUCGGCGCACGUGCACAGCCGGUCCAGCACGGCCAGCGCGAGCUCGCAGACCCGCCGCUCGGGCUCGUCCAGCAGCAGCUCCACGAGCGCCGGCACCGCGCCGGCGCCGACGAUCUUGACGCGGUUCCGGCCGUACGGGCAGAGCGCGGAGAGCGCGUGGAGCGCCGCCUUAGUGGCGCGCGUCGAGACGCGGUCGCGGACCACGCGGAUCACCUCGGCGAGGAGCUCCUGGUUGAGCCCGAUGACCCAGGCCGGCACGGAGACGUCGGCCAGCGACCUCACGAGCCGCACGGCCUGCGCCCGCGACUGUAGGUUGGACGAGCGGAGCACGGCCGUGAGGGACUCCGCCAGGUUGCCGUGCCUGGACACGACGCGGACCAGCUCCUGCUCCGGGAUCCGGAGCGACGAGAGGACCCCGACGGCCUCCUCCCGCGCAGUGGAGCAAGCGCUGGCGCCGGUGAGGACACGAGACAGCGCGUCGAACACGCCAUCCUGGGACUCGAGCAUUGCCCUCGUGUCCUCGCACUCGGCCACCAAUUCCCCCAGCUUCCUGAGCGCGCCGACCUGGGCCGCGGCGGCGUCGGAGAGCAGCUUCGCGAGCUCGUCCCGGCGCACGGGCCUCAGCGCGGCCACCUCCCCCUCGACGUCGGAGCCGGGGGAGACGGACGCGACCCAGGAGCCGAUGAGGCGGCGGAGGGUGUGGUUGGGCGUGAGCUGGAGCUCCGGCUCGAGCGGCUGGCGCGUGACGGGGCAGGUGCGCUGGCUGGUGCUGCACGCGGCCGGCGCAGCGGACGCGGCGAGCCAGCGCGAGAUGGCGGCGCGGUCGUAGGAGAUGCCGGUGGGCAGCGUGACCGGGUCGCGCAUGAGCUGCAGCGAGAUCGGGCAGAGGAAGUAUGAAGGCACCUCGGCCGGGAGCGCGCUCGGCGCCGCCAUGGCUGCUGACAUCUUCUCCGGAGUUGAUUAGCUCGCUCGGCCGCAACAGGUUAGACGCGUCCGACGAAAUGCGCCGCGGGUUGACGAAAUGGCGGUGGGGCGCCGGGGCGGGAUAUAUAGUAAGCCGGUUGGUAGCCCGUGGCCGGUGCGCGCGCGUCCGCAAGCUGGAGCUCUAGUUUAUUCGAGCGAGCUAGCUAUCUGUGGGUUUUGGAAGAAGAAGUUGGAACGAAGAAGACCAGCGGAGCGGGCGCGGGUUGCCGAGGCAGCUGUUGCCUCUGGAUUAUUUUAAGGCGUCGGGAUUCGUCGUGAGUGGUGUUCACAUGCAUCACAUCACAUGGCUGCCCUUUGUUUACUGGUCGCUCGCGGCUCGGGUCAGAGUGGAGCCACAUUCACGUGCUAGGCCCUCGCUUUGUACUAUUUCCAAAUUAGGUCCGUAAUUACUCCUCCAUUUGACAUUUUGGAUAGUUGACUUUGUGGAGCGUUCGUGCGUUAACGUCGCGGUAGCUGGGUUUCUCCUCUCGCUUCGCUUCUCCGGCCUUCACCUUCACGUUGGAAAAGUAGGCGACGGUUGUGAAACAUGUGGUGUCCAUAGAUAGAUGGCAGCUCCCAUUGGCGGCCUCGACUUUUCCUUCACCACCGCGAGCUAGCUUUGACUGGCCAGGUGCGUGCGCAAGCUGAUCCAGUCCUACCGAGCUGGCUGUAGCACGAUCUUAACGUUUGACACACCACCGAUUGCUUGGUGCAGGACCUCCGAGAGAUCGAGUUCCAUCCGUAAACCCCCAUCGGCAGCUCAGAAAACUCCUACCGGUAGUUCCAAUUUUGCCGGAAAUCCCCCAUGUGUGUGGUUCCUGAAAUGUCUACAAGCUCAGCCCCCUUUGCGCAAAGUGAGCCUGCAUGGGAUGGGAUGCGAUUGGUAACUUGCCAGAGUGGGGAGGCUCGAUCGAACGGUUGACCUGGAAAAUUGCAGAGGUUAACAUAUUUGUACGAAUAGGCAGGAGCAUAGGGAAUCGCGCUGUCCCUGCCCUGUGAGCCGUGUUGUUAAUGUUCAGAUCUCUGACCCUGCUGGGUGCCGCCAUGUUCCGUCUAUUGAGAUGUGCGCACCGCGGCGAGGUGCCGCCAUCCCAUAGGCUUUGACCACCUAAUUCUGACUUGUUUAAUGCUUCACCUGAUCGAUCUGAAAAUAUGAUGAUCUGCUCCAACCUGUCACGCUGAGUUUUCUAAGUCCCGCGCCUUCAGAAUCUUUCCAUGGAUCCCUCUUUCAAUGGCUACGAUCUAUCUUUUCUUAUAUCCAUGUCGUCUUUUAGACAGGGGUUAUAUAGUCCUAUCUUUUAUCCUAACUUUUUUACAAGAUCUGGCUCUCAAAAGUUGUCGUUUUAGAUAGAUCUACAAGUCAAUCAUUUUGAAGAAAAAACUGAAGCUAUAUCUUUUGGAUUGAUAUUUUUUUUGAAACAAGGCAAAAGAUUUGCCAUUUUCAUUAACUAAGAAGAGGUUUCGUUACAAGCAGACCGCCAAGCGGUCAAAAGGCAAAACAAUUACUCUCGCGGCAUUAUAUUACGCAAAUGUUUGGCGCUCGCAAUGGCCCAAAUGGACACUUGGAUUGAUACUUGGAAACCACUCCUAAAAAUUACCUUUAAAAGUAAUAUCAUUAACACAAAUUUGUUGAGUUCAUGAUAUGAUGUAAUUAGAUUGGCGCUCAAUUAGUAGCAUUUUGCCACCAUAUUGACAAAUUUGUUUUAAUGAUAUUACUUUUAAAGGUAAUUUUUAGGAGUGGUUUCCGAGUAUCAAUCCAAAAGAGCAAAAUGCUAAACCAUGCAAGGAACAAAAUGUAUGUUGUAUCCUUUGAUUAUGAAUUGGUGAUGUAUAGAUGCCACCCGUAUAGGCAAAUAGUAGUUGAAUUCCAUGAGUGUAGGUGGAUGUGGUUGUGUUGAUGCCCAUCAGACUAUUUUAUUCAUAUGCUGCAUUUUGACUUGUUGUAUGGACGUGGUGGUUGCUUUAUUUAUACAGCGGGACAAAAACCUAUUUCGGAGUAGGUGGUUGUGCACUAGGUUUAAUGUUUGUGUGUCCUACUAAGAUAGAUUAUUUUACUCAAUGUUUUUCAAAACAAAAUGGUUGAAUCCCGCUAAAUGAUGAUUUAUCGUAUAAAUCAGUGCUCAACUUCUUCUUAACCCCUGAAUCUAGCUGGACAACGAAUUAUUUGAUAUUCUGUGUUGUUGGUUCCAAUCUAAACACGCAAAACAAGAAAUUCCAGCUGAGCAAACUGUUAUACUAGGACAGCAGUUCCAUCCACAGUUUUGCAAAAUCUGGGGGCACAUAGAGUUUACGAGAAUAAAUUGAAUACUUCCUCCGUUUUUUAUACAUGGCCACUUCGUUUUUGUGUCAAACUUUGACUUGUAAUUUUGGUCGAUAAAAUAUGAGUUAUAUGCCUCAUAUUUGUUGUACGUGCAAUGAUGUACUUUUUGUGGCAUAUAACUCAUAUUUGUUGUAAAAUUAAUGACCAAAUUUCUUAGAAAUAAAAAUAUGCAGUCACCUUGUAUUAAAAAAAUGGAGGGAGUACUCCGUAUGGUAGAUAUCAUCUUAUAUACCAGACUCCCAUCCAUUUAACCACGGCUGCUAUAAGAACAGGGUGCACAUAUUACAAGACUCUUUGUAGUUAACCAUGUUCACGAAUCCCCGCAAAAAAAAAAAAAAAACAUGUUCCCGAAUGGAUCAUUCCAGGUUCCAGCUUACAUUGCACUCCAGAUCCGUGCAGUCCGGAUCCAAGUACAUUUGCAUCAUGUCAACGAUAAUACUAUUCAAGAGAUCUCGUCCCCGACGUUUCAUAAAAAGAAG
This 14475-nucleotide long non-coding RNA is filed under the name Triticum aestivum (bread wheat). RNAcentral describes it as "long non-coding RNA (TAES_LNC000570)". The record is from RNAcentral. Lineage: Eukaryota; Viridiplantae; Streptophyta; Magnoliopsida; Poales; Poaceae.